AUUGAACGCUGGCGGCAUGCUUUACACAUGCAAGUCGAACGGUAACAGCACUUCGGUGGCUGACGAGUGGCGAACGGGUGAGUAAUACAUCGGAACGUGCCUAGUAGUGGGGGAUAACUACUCGAAAGAGUAGCUAAUACCGCAUGAGAUCUAAGGAUGAAAGCAGGGGACCUUCGGGCCUUGCGCUACUAGAGCGGCUGAUGGCAGAUGAGGUAGUUGGUGGGAUAAAAGCUUACCAAGCCGACGAUCUGUAGCUGGUCUGAGAGGACGAGCAGCCACACUGGGACUGAGACACGGCCCAGACUCCUACGGGAGGCAGCAGUGGGGAAUUUUGGACAAUGGGCGCAAGCCUGAUCCAGCAAUGCCGCGUGCAGGAUGAAGGCCUUCGGGUUGUAAACUGCUUUUGUACGGAACGAAAAGCCCUCUUCUAAUACAGGAGGGUCAUGACGGUACCGUAAGAAUAAGCACCGGCUAACUACGUG
RNAcentral lists this ribosomal RNA (482 nucleotides) under uncultured bacterium. Its description in RNAcentral is "partial 16S ribosomal RNA". It matches the Rfam family "Bacterial small subunit ribosomal RNA", at positions 30 to 507 of the family's 1533-position model. The record is from RNAcentral.